CACCCUUUGGAAAGGGAAAUUAACCUCUUUUUAUCAGUCACCUUCAGCAAGUGACCUCACCUGUAACUUAGGGAUCCUAAAUAACAUCCACCCUACCAAUUUUAUAGAGUAAAUGAGAUCAAGUUAGAAAGAGUACUUGAAAAAGAUUUGCAAUCUAUAAAAUGUUCUGCAAAUGAAAAAAGCUAUUAUGAUUAUGAUUAUUAUAACUGUACUAUCAUUAGUAUUAUUUUCUUCAUUGCUAUUACUAUUUAUAAUAGAAACCCAGAAGGAUCCUUCUUGUCCAAUUACCUGGUCAAUGCUCAGUUCAUCUCAACAAAGUUUUGUGUGACAAGGAGCUCAUUAAUUCCACAGACAAUUCAGUCCUAGGAUUUUUACAAGAUAGAGAAUCUGAGCUAAAACAUACUUAUCAGAAACUUCACAAAAAGAGGAAGAAAUAAUAUAGGAGAUAUAGGUAUGUGUUCCAUGAGAUUCCAAAGCAGUUAAGAUGUGAAACAGCCAUCAGAAGGCCUUGGAACAGAAGAGAAGGGGCAGAUGUGGGGAAGGAAGGGACUUGUUGGGUGAACCUUUGCUUGAGCCUGUAAAAAAGAUCAGAAUUUCUCCAUUCUGGGCCCAGCCACUGACAGGAUUAAGCCUCUGUUAACCUGACCUGGAGUGGACAUGGGGGGUCAGGCUUAGUGGGCUUAGAGGACCUCUAUAAUAACAACAUAUUCAGCUACUUCUCAAUGCUCAGAACAUACUAAAACAUGAGGAAGUGCCUUGAAUUCCACACAAAGAGAUUAUAGGCUUAAAAUGCAAAAACCACUGUGAUAACUUAUGUCCAUGAGUCUCAACACCUGAUUGCUAAGAAGGCUUCAGGAAAGGAUGGAAGCAGUCAUUGUUCAGAGGAAUGAAUGUUUAUCCUUGCCACCCGUUAGGUCGCCUGCUGCCAGGAGUGAUCAGCUCUCUCUGCAGAUUUUUAAUUCAGGUGAAAUACAGAUUUCAAGUUACCUUGAUGAUUUACAUGGCAGCCUAUAGGAAGCAGUCAGAAAAAGUGUCAGGGACUCCUGGCUGGAAUACAUUCAAAGAGUUUUCUAAUUACUUAUUAUUGAUGCAACCCUACCAUGUCAGCUCUUCACUUUGUGAUUGAUUUUUUUCUUUUUAAACUAAUGUAUGAAUCCCCAAAGGAAAAAUGAACAGCAAAAUAUUGUGCUGAACUAAACUUACGUCCAAGGAAAGAGGCUUUGGAAAAACAAUUGGCUUGGUCAGAAGCUAGGACCCUAAAAAAUGGGCUAGAGGCCUGAGGGGGAGGUACAGAAUCUGCUGAUAAAAUGCUGAUAUUUCAAAACAUUUCCCAGGCUGGACCCUUAAGCGUAUCGUAUGUAGUCUCUAUUGAGUUGACAAACUACAGCCCACAGGCCAAAUCUGGCCCUCUGUUUCCUAAAUAAAGUUUUAUUUGGGGCACAGUCAUGUUCAAUGUAUUGUCUGUGGUUGUUCUCACCCUGGAACAAAGGAAUUGAACGGCUACAACAAAAACCAGAUGACCUGCAAAGCCUAAAAUAUUUACUAUUGUUUCCUUUGCAGAAAAAGUUUCCUGACUCCUGGUAUAUUUGUUUUUUUGAAAUGAUUUUUUUUUAAAGUUUAUUUAUUUUGGGGCAGAGAGAGAACCCCAAGCACGUUCUGUGCUGAUAGCAUGGAGCCCAAUGUGGGACUCAAACCCACCAACUAUGAAAUCAUGACCAGGGCUGAAACCCAAAGACAGAUGCUUAACCGUCUGAGCCAUCCAAGCACCCUUCCCAAUAAGUAACUUACAUCAGUAGGCACCCAGUUUGUGCACAUUGUAAGCACAUAAUAAAUUAGAAAGGGCGACAAAGUUUGAAGCCUAGUUUUUAUUCUCAAGGAACUUAAAAUCUAGUUGAGGAGAUGAAGAUAAGCAUACAUGGAAAAAUGGUGAAAAAUAAAACAUAAUAUAUAAUCAAGGGUUAAAUUUAAUGUGUGGACAAGCACCAGACUUUAGAGAAAGGGAAGGAGGGUGUGUGAGUCCUCUAGUAGUUGGAGCAAGCAGUAUUUAAUAUAAUAAAGUUCCAGGAUACCAUAAGAGCUUGAAUGCUCCCUUGAGGUCCACUGUAAUUGGGUUUGACCUGUAUUUCUACUCUAGUGUCAUUUAAAUCACUGAUAUUUUUGGUCCUGUGCUUAGGGGAUACCUUAAUGACCAGAAGUAUUUCUGAGUAACUUUAACUGAUUGAUUUUUCUGGGAUUUGGGAUUCCUUCAAUAUCCCUAAACUACAGAGAAUUUAAUUCAGUCAUAGUGGCAUAAUGUCUUUCUUUUUGGAAAAAAUAUAGUGUAAUGAUUAAGAACAUGAGCUUUAGAGUCAAAGAGACCCAGGUCUAAAUCUUGGCCUCAUCUUCUCCUAGCUAUAUAACCUUGGGGGUUCUGUUAAACUCUGGACCUCAGUUUCUUCAUCUACAAAUUAAGAACAAUAAUAAUGCCUACCUCUUCAGGCUGUCAUGAGAACUAAAUCAUAUAAUGCAUGCGAAGUGCUUAGAAUAUAAAGCGCUUGGUACAAAGAUGGGGCUUGAUCAAUGUUUAGUCAUUGGCCAUUACUUUCUUAAAAUUUUUUUGACAUUUAUUUACUUUUUGAGAGACAGAGAAAGCAUGAGUUGGGGAGGGGUAGAGAGAAAAGGAGACACAGAAUCCAAAGCAGGCUCCAGGCUCCGAGCUGUCAGCACAGAGCCUGACGCGAGUCUCGAACUCACAAACCGUGAGAUCAUGACCCAAGCCGAAGUCGGACCGACUGAGCCACCCAGGUGCCCCUUCUCCCCCUUUUUAGUUUGUUGAUGGUUGUGAUUCUUAAUUUUUAUCAUUGUCGCCAUUGCCAGUCUCCUAAUUUAUUUCCAUAAUGUCCUUGGGAACUUGGGGACAGGGAGCACUAUAUAAAAAAUGCAAAUACAGAUCUACACUUUGAUGUACUGGCAGGAACCUGGAGCUCUUUCAGGCUCUAUAUUGACUGUCUUUGGAGGAGAGGUAAGUUGACAGUUGUACUAGCCUUGUGGAUUGAGGAUCAGCAUCUAUAGGUUUUCACCUAUUUCUGUGAUGAUAGGAGAAAUCAUGUAGAAACAAGACCAGUUUUUCUUGUCUGUAAUGGGGGGUAAUAACACUUAUUUUUGUAACUGUUCUGAGUAUUCCUGAAAGAGCUCUUUGAAACACUUUAAGUAUUUUGAUGUAGUCAUAAAAUAUAAGGCUUUAAAAUCAGGAUUUGAGUGUCCAAAGAAGGCUCUCCUUCCUCUGUGGAUAAAAACAAUGAUAGCAUUGCUUUUUGUUUCCCUUGAGGUAAUUUGAAGAUUAAAGGACAGGGUGUUUUCUACAUUGCCUGUUGGUAAUAAACGGCCUUCUGCAGGGCUUUGACCUUCACUGCUGUUUUGGAGACUCCUAGGAGCAGUGGCCAUGACUCUAGCCAGCCUCACUCAUUUUAUUACAGGGUUGUUCCUCUGAGGGCCUUUAAUGUUAAUACAUUUUCAAAGAACAGCAAACACUGAAUCCAUUGUUUGGUUUUAGUUGCUUUUGUUAAGAAUUAUAUGGGCUUUAUAAGAAAAUGAGAAAAUGUCAGGAAAACAAGCAUGUUUAUUUAACCCAAAUAAACCAUGAUUAGUCUAAACAGGGAAAAUUAUUGUAAUAAGUAGGGCAGCUUCUGUCUCUCUCCUUCCCUGUGAAGUAGAUAGGAAGUAUUGGUGUAUUCAUUUGUCAGAUAUCCUUUACAUUUAAUCAUUUAUUCACUCAGUGAACAUUUGGUAAGCUCUUAUGAUGGAACUGGCACCGGACUGGGAGCUGAGAAUACUACAGUGAGCAAGACAGGCAUGCCAUGCCCUCCUAGAGUUUAGUCUAAUUGGGAAGAUGGACACAUAAACAGCUAAUGACAAUCAAGUGGUCGGUGCUAUGUAAAAGGUUUGGGAUGCCAUGGGAGCACAUGCUGGAGGCUCAAGAAAGGCUUCAGUUUCUUUAAAUGAAUUGCCAAGUAUAACAAAAUGAAGGUGUUGUAUAUCUUCUCUUUAGGCUCAGACCAGGGUGGAGUGGCCCUAAGAUUGAGAGACUGGGCCCUGGUCAUUCUUACACUAUGAGUUUUCUUGGGUGGUUUGAGCUUUUUGGUCUUAGAGAAGUCCUAGAGACUUGUCUGAGUGGGGCCGUAGGCAUCAUCCUAAAGCCACCUUGAUACCCUCUGGUCCUGGAGGACAGCCGACUAACUAAGACCCUCCCAAAGGCAAUCCUUUCCUCCUUAGGGACUACCAAGUCUUAGUCCAGGUAUUCAUCUGUAUGAAUAGUAUGUACUCGAACUACCAACAGUUUUCACCUGAUCAGCCCUCCCUUAUUCUCCUUGGGAUCUCCCUUCCCAAGGGGGCAGACUGGAUUCUCUACUUCUUCACACUUGUCACCCUGAGGCAGGGCAGAGGAGACCUUUUCAGCUAUGAAAGGGCUAGUUUACUAAUCAGUAGACUCUUCUGUACUCUGUCCCUUUCCCCAGUGCUAAGUGAUCAUCUUUAAGUAGGGCUAGCAAGGCAUACUCAUUGAGUUACAUUUAUUCCUUCUUAUUCUUCCUAGGGAGCUAUACAGCUUUUGUUCCUUCACUGCAUUUCAUGAAGUAAGCUAUAGUGUUGGCUUGUCAUAGCCCCAAUUUCCCUUCAAUGGGGCUAAAAACUCCAAGAGAAGGCUGACUAGGAGUCCACAUAUGGAGAUAUCAGGAGCCUCCUCUUUGCUCAUACCUGAGGUUAAGGAUAGACGAGGGACAGGGAUAAUUCCUAGGCAUUCAAACUUGAAUUGUCACCAAGAUAAGUAGUUUUAGCCUCUUCUUUGUGUAGAAGAAAGCUAAGCUAGAGGAAUGGCUUUUGUGAGGUUACAUCAGUUUAAUUUUUUUUUUAACGUUUAUUCAUUUCUGAGAGACAGAGAGGGAGGAAGACACAGAAUUCAAAGCAGGCUCCAGGCUCUGACCUUUCAGCACAGAGCCCAAUGGGGGGCUGGAGCUCAUGGACUGCAGGAUCAUGACCUGAGCUGAAGUUGGAUGCUUAACUGACUGAGCCACCCAGAUGCCCCAAGGUUACAUCACUUUAGAGAGAGCCUAGAGAAGAAGUUCUCAAGCCUUGGUGGAAGGCAUUUAAAAAGAAGUACCAAUGGCCAGGGCUCACCCAGACUAGUUCAUCAAACUCUCAGAUUGGGCCUUGGUAAAUCUCCUUAAAGUAAGUCUAACUGCAGCCAGGUUGGAAAGUCCCUGGACAGCAUGGCCAAAGACAUGGCAGCCUGUGUGCCAAAGACAAGCUUCCUAGGUUUGAAUGCAGCAUGGCCAAAGACAUGGCAGCCUGUGUGCCAAAGAC
Panthera uncia (snow leopard) is the source of this 5337-nucleotide long non-coding RNA. RefSeq lists it as uncharacterized. The transcript has 3 exons. The record is from RefSeq and is a predicted model, not a curated record. NCBI's taxonomy places the organism in Eukaryota, Metazoa, Chordata, Mammalia, Carnivora, Felidae.